CCUACGGGUGGCUGCAGUGGGGAAUAUUGGACAAUGGGCGAAAGCCUGAUCCAGCCAUGCCGCGUGUGUGAAGAAGGCCUUCGGGUUGUAAAGCACUUUCAGUGGGGAAGAAAGCCUUGGGGCUAAUACCCUCGAGGAAGGACAUCACCCACAGAAGAAGCACCGGCUAACUCCGUGCCAGCAGCCGCGGUAAUACGGAGGGUGCGAGCGUUAAUCGGAAUUACUGGGCGUAAAGCGCGCGUAGGCGGUCUGAUAAGCCGGUUGUGAAAGCCCCGGGCUCAACCUGGGAACGGCAUCCGGAACUGUCAGGCUAGAGUGCAGGAGAGGAAGGUAGAAUUCCCGGUGUAGCGGUGAAAUGCGUAGAGAUCGGGAGGAAUACCAGUGGCGAAGGCGGCCCUCUGGACUGACACUGACGCUGAGGUGCGAAAGCGUGGGUAGCAAACAGGAUUAGAUACCCUAGUAGUC
RNAcentral lists this ribosomal RNA (465 nucleotides) under Vreelandella stevensii. RNAcentral describes it as "partial 16S ribosomal RNA". It matches the Rfam family "Bacterial small subunit ribosomal RNA", at positions 338 to 795 of the family's 1533-position model. Lineage: Bacteria; Pseudomonadati; Pseudomonadota; Gammaproteobacteria; Oceanospirillales; Halomonadaceae. The record is from RNAcentral.